GGAACAGACCUACCACACAGGUUCGCAUGUAACGAUUGAGACUGAACUGCUCGACCCCAGUAAGUUUUCCAGCCUCACCAAAUUAUACCGCACGACGGCUUGGAUCAAGCGUUUUGUUGGGAACUGUAGAUUGUCAAAAGAAUCCAGAAACAUUACUAAAAUUCUUCAACCAGACGAGAUGAAGAAAGCAGAACGAUUUUGGUUAGGACAAGCACAGAUUGAUGCAUUUCCCGAUGGAGAAAAGGACAAAAGAUUACUUCACUUCAAUCCUAAACGAGAUGAGGAAGGACUUCUCAGAGCUGACGGUCGCCUUCGAUUCGCCAGAGAACUUCCAUACGACACCAGACACCCUAUAUUGCUACCAAAAGAUCAUCCUGUGACCAAGCUGAUUAUCGUUGACGCUCAUAAAAAACGUGGUCAUGGAACGGGUGUGGAACAUCUACUUACGGAGUUACGUUCAAAGUAUUGGGUGAUAAAAGGAAGACGAGCUGUUAGAAACGUGGUUGAGACCUGCCCUGGCUGUCGGCGACGAUUUGCUACGAAGCAACCUGGGCAAAUGAUGGCACCACUCCCGGGAGUAAGAGUAAAAUUGCCAUUAAAGGCAUUCGACAGAAUUGGAGUGGAUUACGCUGGGCCGUUUCGCACAAAACAAGGAAGAGGAAAACCGAGAGCGAAGAGGUAUCUAUGCCUUUUCACGUGUUUGGCAACAAGAGCGGUUCACUUGGAAAUGAGCUAUUCCUUAGACACUGAUUCAUUCUUAAAUGCCUUCACACGGAUGACAUCAAGGAGGGGGAUGCCAUCUUAUGUGGUGUCUGACAACGGUGGAAAUUUCGUGUCUGGCGAGAAAGAGAUACGUGAGUUAGUUUCUCAGUUUGACCAAGAGAAGAUAAUCAACGAAACAUCAAGAAUGAAACCAAUUGAGUGGAAGUUUAAUCCACCUGCGUCACCACACUUUGGGGGUAUCUUCGAGUCCAUGAUCAAAAGUUCCAAAAAGGCUUUAAGAACAAUUCUCGGAGAUGCAGAAGUUAAUGAUGAAGAAUUACAUACUGCAAUUUGCGGUGCUGAACGGUUGUUAAACUCUAGACCAAUAACGUAUGUCAGUUCUGAUGUUAAUGACUUGGCACCUUUAACACCGAGUCAUUUCCUGGUUGGGCAGUUAGGAGGAGACCUCGCACCUGAAGUACCUGAAAAUGAAACGGUGAACCCGAAGAAGCGAUGGCGUAGAAUUCAGCAGUUACUUGGUCAGUUUUGGAGAAGAUGGAGAAGGGAAUUUUUACCAAGUUUGAGUGCUCGAGGAAAGUGGUUUCAGAAGAGAAAAAAUUUAAAAGAAGGUGAUGUAGUACUCCUUAUAGAACCAAAUGCUAAGCGUGGAGAGUGGCCUCUUGCUCGCGUAGUGGAAGCACAUCCUGGCAAAGACGGAUUGGUAAGAGUCGUGAAAAUACAGAUUGGUGAUAGUACUUAUCUACGACCGGUACACCACUUGAGCCCAUUAGAAGUCGAGGGAGCUGAAGACUAGACUGGACAGGAAUUGUUUAGAUUAUGUUUGACGUUAAAAAUUGUCUUAUGAUGACAAAUGUUAGCACAUUCGGGAGGGGGAUGUUUCUGAAUAUAUUAACUUAAAGUUAUGACGUAAUAUAAAUUUGACCGAGCAAAAAGACUGGCGAGAGAGGACGGUUGUCAUGG
Molecule: long non-coding RNA, 1683 nt
Filed under: Paramuricea clavata
Lineage: Eukaryota; Metazoa; Cnidaria; Anthozoa; Malacalcyonacea; Plexauridae
Source: RNAcentral